GUGGUUAGAGCACACAGUAGGAGGAAGACCACAUCUACCACAGCAUCAGCAACAUGAACCAGAACAAGAAACCUGUCUGACUGAAAAGCUCUCGCAGCGCAACGUUCAGCCUGUUUUUAAUGCGGUGUAUAAAACGAUGUCGGUCCAAUCAGCUCUUACCCUUCUAUCCCUGGCUCUGAUUUUGGGAGCUUCUGGAGCAGAGUGGAGUAUGAAUUACAUCCAGCAGGAAAUAUGUGCUUUAAACGGAUCUACAGUGUUUAUGAACGGAACUUUUACACAUCCAGAACAUCUUACAGUGAAAAAGUCAUUUUGGGCCAUCGAUCCAGUUAAGAAUGUAGAGCCAAAUGAUCUAAGUAAAGACCCAAAUUACUCAGGCAGGGUAGAGAAUUUAAUUGAUAAACGGAAAUUCUACCUCAAACUGAGUAAUGUAACAAAGAAGGAUGAACACAGGUACUGCUUCAGAAUCAUAACAAAUGAACCAGACCAAAAAUGGCUCGGAAAACCUGAAGUUACACUCCAAG
Astyanax mexicanus (Mexican tetra) is the source of this 521-nucleotide long non-coding RNA. RefSeq lists it as uncharacterized. The transcript is spliced from 3 exons. The record is from RefSeq and is a predicted model, not a curated record. Lineage: Eukaryota; Metazoa; Chordata; Actinopteri; Characiformes; Acestrorhamphidae.